RNAcentral lists this ribosomal RNA (373 nucleotides) under uncultured bacterium. RNAcentral describes it as "bacterial SSU rRNA". It matches the Rfam family "Bacterial small subunit ribosomal RNA", at positions 521 to 896 of the family's 1533-position model. The record is from RNAcentral.
UAAGACGAAGGAUGCAAGCGUUAUCCGGAUUCAUUGGGUUUAAAGGGAGCGUAGGCGGACUUGUAAGUCAGUGGUGAAAUCUGUGGGCUUAACCCACAAACUGCCAUUGAUACUGCAGGUCUAGAGUACAGUUGCCGUUGGCGGAAUAUGACAUGUAGUGGUGAAAUACUUAGAUAUGUCAUAGAACACCGAUUGCGAAGGCAGCUAACGAAGCUGUAACUGACGCUGAGGCUCGAAAGUGCGGGGAUCAAACAGGAUUAGAUACCCUGGUAGUCCGCACUGUAAACGAUGAUUACUCGUUGCUGGGGAGCAAUUUCCAGUGACCAAGCGAAAGCGAUAAGUAAUCCACCUGGGGAGUACGCCGGCAACGGUG